AGGAAGGUGGGGAUGACGUCAAGUCAUCAUGGCCCUANUGGGCAGGGCUACACACGUGCUACAAUGGUCGGUACAAAGGGUUGCCAACCCGCGAGGGGGAGCUAAUCCCAAAACGCCGAUCGUAGUCCGGAUUGGAGUCUGCAACUCGACUCCAUGAAGUCGGAAUCGCUAGUAAUCGCAGAUCAGCAUUGCUGCGGUGAAUACGUUCCCGGGCCUUGUACACACCGCCCGUCACACCAUGGGAGUUGGCUGCACCAGAAGCCGGUAGUCUAACCUUCGGGAGGGCGCCGUCCACGGCGUGGUCGAUGAUUGGGGUGAAGUCGUAACAAGGUAGCCGUAA
This 340-nucleotide ribosomal RNA is filed under the name uncultured bacterium. RNAcentral's name for it is "bacterial SSU rRNA". It matches the Rfam family "Bacterial small subunit ribosomal RNA", at positions 1167 to 1505 of the family's 1533-position model. The record is from RNAcentral.